GGGCGAUUAGCUCAGUUGGUAGAGCACCGUGUUCACAUCGCGGGGGUCACAUGUUCGAGUCAUGUAUCGCCCACCA
This 76-nucleotide transfer RNA is filed under the name Alphaproteobacteria bacterium. RNAcentral's name for it is "tRNA-Val". It matches the Rfam family "tRNA". Rfam says of the family: Transfer RNA (tRNA) molecules are approximately 80 nucleotides in length. Their secondary structure includes four short double-helical elements and three loops (D, anti-codon, and T loops). The record is from RNAcentral. RNAcentral also lists the same sequence under 1 other name. Lineage: Bacteria; Pseudomonadati; Pseudomonadota; Alphaproteobacteria.